ACGGACUAGUAUCCUUUUCUCCGUCGUCUCCCUUCCGUACGCGGCACGGACAGCCAGCCGGCCGGCCGGCGAGCUACUUCUCCGCCUCCGAGCUCUCCCUUGCGGUGGCCCAGGACCGCCGCCUGCGCUGAUUCUCCCGCGAGCAGGGGGCGCUGCCGUCGUCACCGCACCAUGUGACAAACUGCAGCAAUGCUAAUAUGGAUGGCAUCAGUUACAGGAGGAUGAAACCAGUCAUGCAGCGUUCAAUCAUGGAACACAUGCUAUGGGUCAUAAUGGAGGACGAAGCCAGUCAUGAAACAAGUGCUGCAGGGUCAUAACGAGCUGAUCCCAGAAGUCCAUCAGUUGGGAUCCUGUCAUGACACUGGAUCCUCCCUCACGGCCAUUGACCCGGACAAGGUGGCCAAAGCCGUUUUCAUGGACUAUGCCAUGCAGCAAAUGACCUGGACUCUCCAGCUGCACAUAGUCCCAAUCUUCCGGAUCGUCACGAGAGAGGCUGACGUGGUUGCAGGAUGGGCAUCUGAUGACAACACCACGAGAUGAGGCCACACAUGCCACCAUGAACCCACAACACCUGCAGGUUUUGGAGGUGCCAAUUUCGUUCUCAUUGCGAAUUAUGAAGUGGUACCUCUUGGAGCAAACAG
Oryza brachyantha (malo sina) is the source of this 641-nucleotide long non-coding RNA. RefSeq lists it as uncharacterized. NCBI's taxonomy places the organism in Eukaryota, Viridiplantae, Streptophyta, Magnoliopsida, Poales, Poaceae. The record is from RefSeq and is a predicted model, not a curated record. The transcript is spliced from 5 exons.